GACGAACGCUGGCGGCGUGCCUAAUACAUGCAAGUAGAACGCUGAAGAGAGGAGCUUGCUCUUCUUGGAAGAGUUGCGAACGGGUGAGUAACGCGUAGGUAACCUGCCUUGUAGCGGGGGAUAACUAUUGGAAACGAUAGCUAAUACCGCAUAACAAUGGGUGACCCAUGUCAUUUAUUUGAAAGGGGCAAAUGCUCCACUACAAGAUGGACCUGCGUUGUAUUAGCUAGUAGGUGAGGUAACGGCUCACCUAGGCGACGAUACAUAGCCGACCUGAGAGGGUGAUCGGCCACACUGGGACUGAGACACGGCCCAGACUCCUACGGGAGGCAGCAGUAGGGAAUCUUCGGCAAUGGGGGCAACCCCGACCGAGCAACGCCGCGUGAGUGAAGAAGGUUUUCGGAUC
RNAcentral lists this ribosomal RNA (406 nucleotides) under uncultured bacterium. Its description in RNAcentral is "bacterial SSU rRNA". It matches the Rfam family "Bacterial small subunit ribosomal RNA", at positions 28 to 424 of the family's 1533-position model. The record is from RNAcentral.